Molecule: long non-coding RNA, 1678 nt
Filed under: Elaeis guineensis (African oil palm)
Lineage: Eukaryota; Viridiplantae; Streptophyta; Magnoliopsida; Arecales; Arecaceae
Description: long non-coding RNA (EGUI_LNC052926)
Source: RNAcentral
UUCUAACAAUUAUUUUUGCCCCUUCAAUGGCUAAUAAAGAUAAUCUAGCUGAUUUUAGUGGUAUUUAAGGUUUGAAAUAAAUUAGAGAACACGAAUAUUGAAAAGAAAAUUGAGAAUAUCCAAAGAAAACAAGAGAAAACCUCCAAGAGAAGUGAAUGAGCAUUGAAUGAGAAAGCAUUCAAGUGAACAUCCAAAUCCUCCAAAGAGCAUUUACUCAAGUUUUAAAGAAGAAGCAUUAAAGCUUUAUAGAAGAGUCUCUAAGACUCGAUAUGAAUUAUCUUGGCCACUAUAGAUGUUCAGAAGGAUCAUCAUACUCGAUGUUGACUAUUUUAGCUACUAUGAGCAAAAUUAGAUAGGGUUCAAGAGUAAGAUCUGCCACAUCAGAAAGCAAAAUCGUAUUAUCUUCUAAUCUAUAAAGAAUUAGCAGGGUGAUAGAAGGCAGAGUUUAUGUAUAAAUUGGGAUCUACCUUCUAUAGGAUUUUAAUAUUUUUUUCAUGAAUUUUAUAUUAAUCUGUUUAUUUAAAAGAUCUAAUCCUAUUCAAAUUAGGAAGAGAAAUUUAACCUAAAUUAUUCAAGGAUGAAUAUCCUUCUAAAAAUUAGAAAGAGAAAUUCAAUCUGAACUAUAAAAGAAAGGACGUCACUAUUAUAAGUGGAAGCUAUGUACUUUAAUUUAGGUGUGUGGAGAAUCAAUGAAAGAAAGGAACUUAAACCCUACUUUCAAAACUUUUCUCCCUUCUGCUAGUUUACUUUUUAAUUCAAGUUGAAUGAUUCGAUGAAAACUUUUAUUCUCCUUGACAAGAUCACUAUUUAUACACUAGGUCUAGAAGAUAGUCUCUCAUGUUAUGGGAGUUAGCUCCUCUUAGGAUGGUUGAUGCAGGGGUCAUCUUUUGGUCUUUAUGAGACCGCUCUAGUUGCUUGACCAAUCUUCAAGAGUUGCCUCAUGCAAGGAGUUGGUUCUACUCUCGUGACUCAAAGCCUAGAUCUUAUUGUUUAUAGGAGUCUUCUCCUCAUUGUUAGGAGUUAGCUCCAUCAAAACAAAUAGCUUAGAUCAUGAAUGAGUUGAAUGAGAUUCGAGUUGAAUGAGAUGAAGUAUCUUCCUUCUUCCCAUCUAGAUUAUGAAGAUAUCAAAUCUUCAUUAUGCAUGUCCAUACCAUCUUAUUUGACCCUCCAUCAUUUUGUCUUUAAAAUGAGCUACUCUAGAAGCUCUUUUAAUAUACUAGUAUUUCAAUCUAUACUUCUAGUUUGUUGCAUCUGUCUUAACAUUCUUAAUUUUGCUUUAGUCAACUUAUUUUACCUAAACCUCAUUUAUUGCAAACAUUUUGAACCAUGCAAUAUUGAAUAAAUUUUACAAUUGUUUCAUAAAUUUUUUCUUUAUGUCAUUUAGGUACACAUCAAUCAUCUAAUACCCAUGAAGCACCUUUCCAAUUUAUCUAGCCAACUCUAUCUUAUUCCACAUAUCUUCAUCCAUACUUCAUUAUUUUUAUAAAAUAGAUUAUAGAUCCCAAUUGUGAAGCCUAUCACUUCAUAGUAUCUGUUAUAUAUUCAUUAAACUUCAUUGAGUUCUUAUUUGUAUUUCUAUUUUUACUAAAUUGCAUUCCACAAACUGUAUAUAUUUUUGCUCAAACUUUCUUUUAUAAAUUUAGUUAGCAUUUAGUUUACUUCUUUUCUCGAGGUUUUC